RNAcentral lists this small RNA (77 nucleotides) under Xanthomonas arboricola pv. populi. RNAcentral describes it as "sX9 sRNA". It matches the Rfam family "Xanthomonas sRNA sX9". The record is from RNAcentral. Lineage: Bacteria; Pseudomonadati; Pseudomonadota; Gammaproteobacteria; Lysobacterales; Lysobacteraceae.
AUGGACCACGCGUACAGUCCGGUUCUGAGCGCGCCGCACGCCCUCACCCGACGACCGCUCGCUCGGUUUUGGUGGCC